UGAGUAGCUGCGUCUACAGGCGCCCGCCAUCACGCCCGGCUAAUUUUUUGUGCUUUUAGUAGAGACGGGGUUUCACCGUGUUAGCCAGGAUGGUCUUAUCUCCUGACCUCAUGAUCCGCCCUCCUCGGCCUCCCAAAGUGCUGGGAUUACAGGCGUGAGUCACCGCGCCCGGCCAGGGCAAAUCUCUUUAACUAUUAUAAUUUUCUCAGUUAUAAUCUUGCAAUGGUGGUUUCAAAAGGUGACUGGAAGAAAGCGGAAGGAAUGCUUACCUCAUCUUGCAGACAUCAGGUGCAUUCCUGAGAAGCUACAGAUGGACAACCUUAGUCAGGCUCUGGGGAUACAGAGGUAACAAGAAGACCAGACUGUUGUUCCAAUGGAGGAGACAUCCUGAUGGAACCCAGGCAUGGAACACAUUGCCCAAAUGUCGCUGAGUUUCGCUGCAUCAGAAGUUACAUAACAUAAUCCAGUGCAAAGCAGAACGAGGAAAUACCAGGUGGCUGUCAGGGGUGGCUAUCUCACAUUCUGCUGUGCUGGGCUACCUUCCAG
Pongo pygmaeus (Bornean orangutan) is the source of this 546-nucleotide long non-coding RNA. RefSeq lists it as uncharacterized. The transcript has 3 exons. Lineage: Eukaryota; Metazoa; Chordata; Mammalia; Primates; Hominidae. The record is from RefSeq and is a predicted model, not a curated record.